UCGUGGGGCGACUUGUCUGGUUAAUUCCGAUAACGAGCGAGACCUCAAUCUGCUAAAUAGUCACGUUAACUUUGGUUGACGGCAGUACUUCUUAGAGAGACUACAAUGGUUUACAUUGUGGAAGUGAGGCAAUAACA
RNAcentral lists this ribosomal RNA (137 nucleotides) under uncultured eukaryote. Its description in RNAcentral is "partial 18S ribosomal RNA". It matches the Rfam family "Eukaryotic small subunit ribosomal RNA", at positions 1299 to 1458 of the family's 1831-position model. The record is from RNAcentral.